GGGUGAGUAAAGAUUGUUUAGUUUAGUAUGGUGUGGAAAUAUAUUGAUUUAAAAUAAUAUUAUUAUAAGUUAUAAAGGUAAAAUUAAGUGGUGAGAUGUAAUUAUAUUUUUUGUUAAUAGUUAGUUAUUACAUUGAAUUUAGAAAAUAAACUGGAAUUAGAUACUCCAUUAUAUUUUUAUUAAAAGUUAAAUGUUUGAGUAGUAACCAGGUAUGAUCUUGAAACUCAAAGAAUUUGGCGGUAUUUAAGUCUAGUUAGAGGAACUUGUGCUGUAAAUGAUAAUCCGCGAGAAUCUGUCUUUAUUUGGUAAGAUUCAGUUUGUAUACCGCCAUGAAGUGGAUAAUUUAAAUAUGAGUGUAUCUAAGUAGAGAAGUUCUUAUAGAUUAGGUCAAGGUGCAGUUUAUAAUAAAGUAGUCAUGGGUUACAUUAUUUUAAAAAUAUGAUGGAUAGAGAUCUGGAAGAUAAGAUUUUUGAAGGUGGAUUUAAUAGUAAGUUAUAUAAAUUAAGUAUAAUUGAUAGAAGCUCUUAAGUGUGUACAUAUUGCCCGUCGUUCUUGCUUA
This 559-nucleotide ribosomal RNA is filed under the name Potamalpheops tigger. RNAcentral's name for it is "partial small subunit ribosomal RNA". The record is from RNAcentral. Lineage: Eukaryota; Metazoa; Arthropoda; Malacostraca; Decapoda; Alpheidae.